RNAcentral lists this ribosomal RNA (272 nucleotides) under uncultured bacterium. Its description in RNAcentral is "partial 16S ribosomal RNA". It matches the Rfam family "Bacterial small subunit ribosomal RNA", at positions 524 to 794 of the family's 1533-position model. The record is from RNAcentral.
UACGGAGGGUGCAAGCGUUAAUCGGAAUUACUGGGCGUAAAGCGCGCGUAGGUGGUUUGGUAAGCGAGAUGUGAAAGCCCCCGGGCUUAACCUGGGAACGGCAUUUCGAACUGUCAGACUAGAGUGUGGUAGAGGGUAGUGGAAUUUCCUGUGUAGCGGUGAAAUGCGUAGAUAUAGGAAGGAACACCAGUGGCGAAGGCGGCUACCUGGACCAACACUGACACUGAGGUGCGAAAGCGUGGGGAGCAAACAGGAUUAGAUACCCCCGUAGU